Molecule: ribosomal RNA, 526 nt
Filed under: uncultured bacterium
Lineage: Bacteria
Description: bacterial SSU rRNA
Rfam family: Bacterial small subunit ribosomal RNA
Source: RNAcentral
AAUAGAUACCCCGGUAGUCCAUGCCGUAAACGUUGGGCACUAGGUGUGGGGCUCAUUCCACGAGUUCCGUGCCGCAGCAAACGCAUUAAGUGCCCCGCCUGGGGAGUACGGCCGCAAGGCUAAAACUCAAAGGAAUUGACGGGGGCCCGCACAAGCGGCGGAGCAUGCGGAUUAAUUCGAUGCAACGCGAAGAACCUUACCAAGGCUUGACAUGCACGGGAAGCCACCAGAGAUGGUGGUCUCUUUGGACACUCGUGCACGGGUGGUGCAUGGUUGUCGUCAGCUCGUGUCGUGAGAUGUUGGGUUAAGUCCCGCAACGAGCGCAACCCUGUCCCAUGUUGCCAGCGGGUUAUGCCGGGGACUCAUGGGAGACUGCCGGGGUCAACUCGGAGGAAGUGGGGAUGACGUCAAAUCAUCAUGCCCCUUAUGUCUUGGGCUUCACGCAUGCUACAAUGGCCGGUACAAAGGGCUGCGAUACCGUAAGUGAGCGAAUCCCAAAAGCCGGUNUCAGUUCGAUUGGGGUCUG